AUCUACCCAGUCUAUAUAUCAGUCUAUAUAUUCCGGAAAUGUUUACUAAGGCCUGAGCAGGAUUGUGUCUGAAGCCCUGCAGGACUGAUGGAUGACUCCGACUGCAUGACGUUUUUCCCGAAUUAAUACUCCUGAAUCAGUAUUCAGACACAUCCGGUUGUACACAAAUGUAGCGCCAAUUCACCCUGUAGAUUUGUGUAUGUGCUCCUGAGUAGCACCCCCGUUUUCUGUGUCCUGUGGUACAUUCCAUACUGUAAAUUAUAGGCAUGCAACCAUGGAGAAUGCCAUUACGGAGACAAGCAUCCGGACUGUUGCUUGCGUGAGUAGGCCUGCAGAUUUAAAGAAGAAUUGAGUUUUGGAUUGUGACUUUUCCACUGGAACGACCAGAUGUGUUUGUACAAGGAAGAAUCAUCUAGGAAUUUUGUCUAUACGUGAUAGAUUAGACAGGGUAUAAGAGAUGUGAAAACAUGUCAAGCAAAUAAGUGGGAAUUUCUUUAAUAUUGAUUUGACUCUUACAUUGUCUGAGACAUUAGACAGAGACGUUGUAGCUAGGUGAUGUUAAUUCAGCACUGUGGAUUUUGCAUUGAGUUUAGACAUGUGCUUUUUUGGGUUUAUAGCGUUCCUAUAUAUCCAGCUCAGAAUCAUUGUAUAGUCAUUUUAUUGUUAUGAUAAUGAACACCAUUCAUGUUGAUUUUUAAAUGUGCGAUCUUUGGAGAGCUCAGAGAGCCUAGAGACCGAAAAUCAGUGACUAUCUUUUUUUUUUUUUACUUGUUUUUUUUUCUUUACUUUUUUUUUAAUAUGAAGCAGGUUUUGUGGGUUAAAGUAAUGUAGAAAGCGGUACACUUUCAGUUUAGUGUCAUGGUAAAUGAUGUGCUUUGUUGUGUGUGUGUGUGUGUGUGUGUGUGUGUGUGGAGAUAGAGAGAGAGAGAGAGAGAGAGAGAGGCGGGGACACAGGGACCAAGGACAGCAGUGGUGAGAGCACUCGCUCUGCUUCCUCCACUCGAUCUCGAUAGUGUGUGUGUGUGUGUGUGUGUGUGUGUGUGUGUGUGUGUGUGUGUGUGUGUGUGUUCUUUCACACGCGAAACGGCAUCAUUUGUUACUGAGCCGAGAGCGAAUACAGCGACAUUCUGCUUUUGCCGGCUUGUGGAUCAGGAUAACGCGGAUUUUGCGCAUUUGGCGCUAUAGAAUUUGUUACCAAGUCAAGAAGAUCAUUCAUCAGCUACUUGACUAGGCUCAACAUUACAUAAAAGAGAUGAUGAGAAGAAGAAAAAAAAGAGAGAGUGGGAGGCAGAGAUGAAGUCCAACACCGCCAUCGGCUCUCUUCCUCCUCUGCAAGUCCGUCUCUCCAUCGCAGGGAAGGGUGGGAGUGCACCGAGGCCAGCCAGGGUGAGGCGUCAUGGGCUUGAGAAGCAUCCUGAACCCCGCUCGGUCAACAGCACCUCUGGAGCUCAGAGCUCAGAGAGAAAUCAAUACGGGGAAAGAGAGACUGAUUCUGGAUCACCCAACCUAGCCCUGAGCCUGCAGGCCAGAUGACCUCCCACACACACAGUCAUACACGCUGACACACAUACAAAUACAUACUGACAUACAGCUAUG
Molecule: long non-coding RNA, 1596 nt
Organism: Ictalurus furcatus (blue catfish)
Lineage: Eukaryota; Metazoa; Chordata; Actinopteri; Siluriformes; Ictaluridae
Exons: 3
Source: RefSeq, a predicted model, not a curated record